AAGAUUUACUCUGGCUGUGCGCCUUUGGGCUGCACGCCGGAUCACACCCACACACACCUGUGCACACUUCGGUUGCGAAAGGCCUCACGGCCGACUAGCUUCCGCUUUUACACAUUUAACAAGCAUGUCCAGAAUGUAACAACUAUAACAAAUA
This 154-nucleotide unclassified non-coding RNA is filed under the name uncultured Basidiomycota. RNAcentral describes it as "sequence contains ITS1". The record is from RNAcentral. Lineage: Eukaryota; Fungi; Basidiomycota.